This 503-nucleotide ribosomal RNA is filed under the name uncultured bacterium. Its description in RNAcentral is "partial 16S ribosomal RNA". It matches the Rfam family "Bacterial small subunit ribosomal RNA", at positions 28 to 523 of the family's 1533-position model. The record is from RNAcentral.
GAUGAACGCUGGCGGCGUGCCUAAUACAUGCAAGUCGAACGAAGAUCUAGCUUGCUAGAUCUUAGUGGCGAACGGGUGAGUAAUACAUAAAUAAUCUGCCCAUAUGACUGGGAUAACUAUUGGAAACGAUAGCUAAUACCGGAUAGGUUGAUUGGAGGCAUCUCUGAUUAAUUAAAGUAGGAUUUCUACACAAAUGGAUGAGUUUAUGGCGCAUUAGUUAGUUGGUGGGGUAACGGCCUACCAAGAUGAUGAUGCGUAGCCGACCUGAGAGGGUGACAGGCCAACCUGGGACUGAGACACGGCCCAGACUCCUACGGGAGGCAGCAGUAGGGAAUUUUCGGCAAUGGGCGCAAGCCUGACCGAGCAACGUCGCGUGAGUGAUUAAGGCCUUCGGGUUGUAAAGCUCUGUUGUAAGGGAAGAACAUUCAGGAUAGGAAAUGAUCUUGAACUGACGGUACCUUACCAGAAAGCCACGGCUAUCUACGUGCCAGCCGCCGCAGUAA